Molecule: transfer RNA, 94 nt
Filed under: Acidocella sp.
Lineage: Bacteria; Pseudomonadati; Pseudomonadota; Alphaproteobacteria; Acetobacterales; Acidocellaceae
Description: tRNA-OTHER
Source: RNAcentral
GCGGUCCGCAGAGGCGAGCAAGGGGACUCGGAUUUUCGUUUCGAACCUACUACGAAUCUGAGGGUCAGGAGUUCGAAUCUCUUCGGGCGCGCCA